UGUUCCAUGGUGUAAUGGUGAGCACUCUGGACUCUCAAUCCAGCGAUCCGAGUUCAAAUCUGGGUGGAACCU
Molecule: transfer RNA, 72 nt
Filed under: Blattella germanica (German cockroach)
Lineage: Eukaryota; Metazoa; Arthropoda; Insecta; Blattodea; Blattellidae
Description: tRNA-Glu (CTC) (tRNA-Glu-CTC-12-1)
Rfam family: tRNA
About the family: Transfer RNA (tRNA) molecules are approximately 80 nucleotides in length.
Source: RNAcentral